This 382-nucleotide ribosomal RNA is filed under the name uncultured eukaryote. RNAcentral describes it as "partial 18S ribosomal RNA". It matches the Rfam family "Eukaryotic small subunit ribosomal RNA", at positions 592 to 976 of the family's 1831-position model. The record is from RNAcentral.
CAAUAGCGUAUAUUAAAGUUGUUGCAGUUAAAAAGCUCGUAGUCGAAGCUCGGCCUUUGGGGCGGCUGGUCGAUCGAUGAUUGGACUGGCAGUCGCGAGGCAAACCUUUCCGAUCUGGCGCGUGUGCCCUUUGCCGGGUGUGCGGGCUGGGCGGGACUUUUACCUUGAAAAAAUUAGAGUGUUCAAAGCAGGCGUAUGGCUUGAAUACAUUAGCAUGGAAUAAUGGAAUAGGAUUUUGGUUCUAUUUUGUUGGUUUUAAGGACCAGAAUAAUGAUUAAUAGGGACAGUUGGGGGCAUUCGUAUUCAGUUGUCAGAGGUGAAAUUCUUGGAUUUACUGAAGACGAGCGACUGCGAAAGCAUCUGCCAAGGAUGUUCCCAUUGA